GGCCCAGCCCCGUGCGGCGAAAAACCACGAAUCCCGUCAGGUCCGGAAGGAAGCAGCGGUAAGAGGAACUUUUCGGGUGCCACGGCUCUCUGGGUCUCCU
RNAcentral lists this signal recognition particle RNA (100 nucleotides) under Pyramidobacter piscolens W5455. RNAcentral describes it as "Bacterial signal recognition particle RNA". It matches the Rfam family "Bacterial small signal recognition particle RNA". From Rfam's summary of the family: The signal recognition particle (SRP) is a universally conserved ribonucleoprotein involved in the co-translational targeting of proteins to membranes. Archaeal SRP consists of a 7S RNA and homologues of the eukaryotic SRP19 and SRP54 proteins. In most bacteria, the SRP consists of a 4.5S RNA and the Ffh protein (a homologue of the eukaryotic SRP54 protein). The record is from RNAcentral. Lineage: Bacteria; Thermotogati; Synergistota; Synergistia; Synergistales; Dethiosulfovibrionaceae.